This 1221-nucleotide ribosomal RNA is filed under the name Lobaria anomala. Its description in RNAcentral is "LSU rRNA". It matches the Rfam family "Eukaryotic large subunit ribosomal RNA", at positions 114 to 1351 of the family's 3401-position model. Lineage: Eukaryota; Fungi; Ascomycota; Lecanoromycetes; Peltigerales; Lobariaceae. The record is from RNAcentral.
UUUGAAAUCUGACCCCGGCGGGGCCCGAGUUGUAAUUUGUAGAGGGUGUUUCGGGCGCGGCGCCGGUCUAAGUUCCUUGGAACAGGACGUCAUAGAGGGUGAGAAUCCCGUAUGUGACCGGCGAUCAAGCCCAUGUGAAGCCCCUUCGACGAGUCGAGUUGUUUGGGAAUGCAGCUCAAAAUGGGUGGUAAAUUCCAUCUAAAGCUAAAUACUGGCCGGAGACCGAUAGCGGACAAGUAGAGUGAUCGAAAGAUGAAAAGCACUUUGGAAAGAGAGUUAAACAGUACGUGAAAUUGUUGAAAGGGAAGCGCUUGCAAUCAGACCGGUCCGGGGGCGAUCAGCCGCUGCUCGUCAGCCGGUGCACUCGCCUCCGAUCCGGCCAGCAUCGGUUUGGGCGGUGGGAUAAAAGUCCCGGGAAUGUAGCUUCUUUCGGGGAGUCUUAUAGCCCGGGGCGCAAUGCUGCCUGCCUUGGACCGAGGACCGCGCUUCGGCUAGGAUGCUGGCGUAAUGGUUGCAAGCGACCCGUCUUGAAACACGGACCAAGGAGUCUAACAUCUAUGCGAGUGUUUGGGUGUCAAACCCAGGCGCGGAAUGAAAGUGAACGGAGGUGGGAGCCCGUCAAGGGUGCACCAUCGACCGAUCCAGAUGUCUUCGGAUGGAUUUGAGUAUGAGCAUAGCUGUUGGGACCCGAAAGAUGGUGAACUAUGCCCGGAUAGGGUGAAGCCAGAGGAAACUCUGGUGGAGGCUCGCAGCGGUUCUGACGUGCAAAUCGAUCGUCAAAUCUAGGCAUAGGGGCGAAAGACCAAUCGAACCAUCUAGUAGCUGGUUCCUGUCGAAGUUUCCCUCAGGAUAGCAGUAACGUUUUCAGUUUUAUGAGGUAAAGCGAAUGAUUAGAGGCCUUGGGGCUGAAACAGCCUUAACCUAUUCUCAAACUUUAAAUAUGUAAGAAGUCCUUGUUACUUAGUUGAACGUGGACAUUUGAAUGCACCGUUACUAGUGGGCCAUUUUUGGUAAGCAGAACUGGCGAUGCGGGAUGAACCGAACGCGAGGUUAAGGUGCCGGAAUGCACGCUCAUCAGACACCACAAAAAGUGUCAAUUCAUCCAGACAGCCGGACGGUGGCCAUGGAAGUCGGAAUCCGCUAAGGAGUGUGUAACAACUCACCGGCCGAAUGAAUUGGCCUUGAAAAUGGAUGGCGCUCAAGCGUGCUACCCAUACCUCG